CUCCCACCCGUGUUUAUUUUACCUUGUUGCUUCGGCGGGCCCGCCUUAACUGGCCGCCGGGGGGCUUACGCCCCCGGGCCCGCGCCCGCCGAAGACACCCUCGAACUCUGUCUGAAGAUUGUAGUCUGAGUGAAAAUAUAAAUUAUUUAAAACUUUCAACAACGGAUCUCUUGGUUCCGGCAUCGAUGAAGAACGCAGCGAAAUGCGAUACGUAAUGUGAAUUGCAAAUUCAGUGAAUCAUCGAGUCUUUGAACGCACAUUGCGCCCCCUGGUAUUCCGGGGGGCAUGCCUGUCCGAGCGUCAUUUCUGCCCUCAAGCACGGCUUGUGUGUUGGGCCCCGUCCUCCGAUCCCGGGGGACGGGCCCGAAAGGCAGCGGCGGCACCGCGUCCGGUCCUCGAGCGUAUGGGGCUUUGUCACCCGCUCUGUAGGCCCGGCCGGCGCUUGCCGAUCAACCCAAAUUUUUAUCCAGGUUGACCUCGGAUCAGGUAGGGAUACCCGCUGAACUUAAGCAUAUCAAUA
Molecule: ribosomal RNA, 520 nt
Filed under: Penicillium chrysogenum
Lineage: Eukaryota; Fungi; Ascomycota; Eurotiomycetes; Eurotiales; Aspergillaceae
Description: eukaryotic LSU rRNA
Rfam family: 5.8S ribosomal RNA (bases 151-303)
Source: RNAcentral